AAUUGUUUCCAUUUCCACUCAUCACCUACUUAUUCACUUGAUGGAAAGGUUCAGCAACGUUUCCUCCGAACUUCUUAGGAAAAUUAGCAACACGAUUUUUCGAUUUUAAAGGAGUACAGUGCAAUCUUUUUUAAGAACAUCAUACGGAUUUUUUCUUAUUCCAGGUAUGUUAAGGUUAAUCCUUCUUUCCUUGUUGGCAUGAUCGAAGUAACGAUACGUAAACAUAAUAAUAUUCCAUAAGUUGUUCUACUCUUAGCAGUUAAAAAUGUCUAUGCUAUUCAUUUCCGUAAAGUGAUAUUCAAGCAUGUCUAAGUAUGUUUUGUUUACUUUGAUUCUCUUUUAAAAAUCAAAAGGGUAGCUUUCAGUGCUCAAAAUACCCAGGUCACCCAUGUGAAAGGAUCAUAUUAUGGACAAAUUAAGGUUUUCCUGUUGUCUUAUCAUAUGCUGGGAAAUCAAGCACAACAUUUUCAUCUAAAUGGUCUUGAAGUUCCCAUUGAUGUGGAAAUCACGUAUUAGUAGAUAUUUUAAAUUUAUAUCUUCAUUUGGACAGAGACUGGACAUUGAUAUACAUCCAUAGGCUACAUAAUAUGUUAGCUAGUUUCUUGAAUGGCGCAAUUAAUUUUUCAACAGGGCUGGUCAUGUCCUUAUAUUGUUAGUGGUUAUAGUUAUUAAGAAAAGAAAAUAGGUAUGGACUCCCAUAAUGUCCCUCAUGAAGAGGUUUCUUACUGCAUUCUGAUUCCAAAAGGUAUGAUUUAAACUUAAAGUCAUAAAAAUUUUGCAGACUGCUAAAAGUAACACUAGAUAGGAUAUUGAGUUCCUAUUUGGUUUGUCUAGCGGUGUGACUAGUUGAAAUUUCUAAUAGCUUAACUUUGUGGCUCCCUCAAUUAACUGAUUUUUGGAAGAAAAUGAAUGGGACUAGAUGUUAAUUUUUAUAAUACAGUAAUACAUGCAUCUUCAUGCAUAUGCAUUGACCCCCGAGUUACGGCCGAUCGAGCAGUCAUGCAUUUACCACCGAGCUACGGUCGAUUGGGCAGUUACAUAUUUACCACCGUGCUACAGCCGGUUGGGCAGACAUGCAUUUACCACCGGGCUACGGCCGGUGGGGCAGUUACCACCGGUUAGGCAGUUAUGUAUCAUUAUUUACCACCGGUUGGGCAGUCAUACAUUUACCACCGUGCGACGGCCGAUCGGACAGUUAUCACUGAUCAGUUGGGCAGUCAUGCAUCAUACGAUAUGGAUAAUAGAAAUAGUCUUAAAGAGAAGCAUUAUAUAUAUAGGUAUUAUAAGUAUGCAGAUAAGGUGGCACUUCUAGAUUUAGGUUGAUUCUUAUAUGUCUUUAAUUGAUGUUGACUUAUUGUUAUGUGUCAGUUCUGCCUUACAUGCUCAGCACAUUAUUCGUACUGACGUCCUUUUGUUGGGGACGUUGCAUUCAUGCCUGCAGGUAUAGAUAAUCAGAUUGACAAGUCCUCACACAGUAGACGAGGUUUGCAUUCAGCGAAGGAUCGGUAGGACUCCACCUCAUUCGGAGUGCAGCCGAGUCUAUGAGUUAUCGUGUCAGCCUGUUUCUACAGACUUAUGGGUAGGCCGGUACCCUAUCCCAUUUGAUGUCAAACAAUCUUAGAGGUUUUGUAGACAGAGGUUCAGUUUGUACAGUAUGUUAGAGGCCUUGAUGGCCCAUAUGUAUUCAUGUUUUAAGAAAAAUGGUUCAGUAAUAUAAUGUUGUACACUUACAAUUAUACAUUACGAGUUGUGGCUAUGUUGGCCCAUGAUAGUUACAAAAAGAAUGAAUGAAUUACAGAGUGAUUCGCUCGGGCCAGUGCGAUACCGGGUGACAGCCACGCCUCCCAAGGUUGGAGCGUGACAAAGUGGUAUCAGAGUGGGUCGUGUCCUAGGGAGUCUACAAAGAGUCUAUGGGUGUGUUGCGCGCCACAUUUAUAAUUGAGAGGUUAUAGGGCCUUUAGGAAAUGUUACCCUUCUUUUGGUUCCAAAUCAUGCCAUGGAGCUGAGUUGUAAGAAGUCAGUAUGAAGCUUUUGUCAGAUUUUGUAUGCACCAGAGGUGCAGAUAUCACAGUAGAGCUUUAAGGCGUAAUGUGGAAGGGAGGUUAUGCAAAAAACAACAGAUACGAUGCAAGAUUGAAAGGUAAGUAAGGUAAAGGUGAAAAAGAUACGACAUACUCGAGUACAAAAGGUUGUGAAUAGUCAAGACUUAUGAUAUCGUUUGGAUUUUAAGUUUAAUUUACCCUAGUGAAAAUUUUGCAAAUCUCCAAGAGUUAACAUUCGAGGACGAAUGUUCUAAACGGGGGAAGGAUGUUACACCCCGUAAGUUUAACAACAUUGAUAUCGUUAUAGAUAUUUGAUAUGGUAUUUUGAGUGGAACUUUUUUUCGAAAAAAA
This 2393-nucleotide long non-coding RNA is filed under the name Nicotiana tabacum (common tobacco). RNAcentral describes it as "long non-coding RNA (NTAB_LNC004579)". Lineage: Eukaryota; Viridiplantae; Streptophyta; Magnoliopsida; Solanales; Solanaceae. The record is from RNAcentral.